This 301-nucleotide ribosomal RNA is filed under the name uncultured bacterium. RNAcentral's name for it is "partial 16S ribosomal RNA". It matches the Rfam family "Bacterial small subunit ribosomal RNA", at positions 509 to 807 of the family's 1533-position model. The record is from RNAcentral.
CAGCCGCCGCGGUAAUACGUAGGUGGCAAGCGUUGUCCGGGAUUAUUGGGCGUAAAGGGCUCGCAGGCGGUUUCUUAAGUCUGAUGUGAAAGCCCCCGGCUCAACCGGGGAGGGUCAUUGGAAACUGGGAAACUUGAGUGCAGAAGAGGAGAGUGGAAUUCCACGUGUAGCGGUGAAAUGCGCAGAGAUGUGGAGGAACACCAGUGGCGAAGGCGACUCUCUGGUCUGUAACUGACGCUGAGGAGCGAAAGCGUGGGGAGCGAACAGGAUUAGAUACCCCGGUAGUCCCUGUCUCUUAUAC